AUGCAAGUCGAACGGAAUUUGAGAGCUUGCUCUUAAAUUUAGUGGCGCACGGGUGAGUAACGCGUAGAUAAUCUGCCUGACGAUCUGGGAUAACACUUCGAAAGAGGUGCUAAUACCGGAUAAGCCCACGGGGUCUUUGGAUUCUGCGGGAAAAGGGGGGGACCUUCGGGCCUUCUGUCGUCAGAUGAGUCUGCGUACCAUUAGCUAGUUGGUAGGGUAAAGGCCUACCAAGGCAACGAUCAGUAGCCGGCCUGAGAGGGUGAUCGGCCACACUGGAACUGAGACACGGUCCAGACUCCUACGGGAGGCAGCAGUGGGGAAUUUUGCGCAAUGGGCGAAAGCCUGACGCAGCAACGCCGCGUGGGUGAUGAAGGUCUUCGGAUCGUAAAACCCUGUCGUCAGGGACGAAGGUUAGUCGUUGAAUAGGCGAUUGACUUGACGGUACCUGGAGAGGAAGCCCCGGCUAACUCUGUGCCAGCAGCCGCGGUAAUACAGAGGGGGCAAGCGUUAUUCGGAAUUAUUGGGCGUAAAGGGCGCGUAGGCGGUUUUUUAAGUGAGAUGUGCAAUCCCCGAGCUUAACUUGGGAACUGCAUCUCAGACUGGAAGGCUAGAGUGCUGGAGAGGGUGGUAGAAUUCCACGUGUAGCGGUGAAAUGCGUAGAGAUGUGGAGGAAUACCAGUGGCGAAGGCGGCCACCUGGACAGUAACUGACGCUGAGGCGCGAAAGUGUGG
RNAcentral lists this ribosomal RNA (731 nucleotides) under uncultured bacterium. RNAcentral describes it as "bacterial SSU rRNA". It matches the Rfam family "Bacterial small subunit ribosomal RNA", at positions 55 to 764 of the family's 1533-position model. The record is from RNAcentral.